RNAcentral lists this long non-coding RNA (530 nucleotides) under Trifolium pratense (red clover). RNAcentral describes it as "long non-coding RNA (TPRA_LNC010682)". The record is from RNAcentral. Lineage: Eukaryota; Viridiplantae; Streptophyta; Magnoliopsida; Fabales; Fabaceae.
UGUCUGGAGCUAUGCCACUGUAGAAUCAUUAAUAUUCGCGGAGACUAUUUAUAUUAUCGGACACAACAACCAGAAGCCAUAUCUUUCGAAGGAAAUGAAACUGAGAAUGAUAUAAUGAAGUAAAGAAAUAUAGAAUUAGAAAAAGCUAGAGCUGGGUAUAAAGGCUUACGACCUGGAGAUUCUUAGCUUGUUAGACACAAUCUAUCUUACUAGCUAUUCAGUGGAUUCCUAGCCCUUGACUCAUGGUAGAGAACACCAAAGGGUACUGCUCGCUUUGUUUCUCUUUAUGUGGGGACGAGAACAAACUGACUAUAAAUCUGCAGAAUCCACUACCCGCUCCUGCUUCUUGGUCACCAGAAGGGUAAUUAGGAUCUGCUGCUGAACCAGAUAUCCCGCCCCUUACGACCAGUAAUCGAUAUCCCUCACAGCGAGCCAACAAAGAAUGAAAGAAGGAAAGGUAGGCAGGCUCAACAAAAGCUGCAAACUAAGGCUCAGAAAACUUGUGCAAUCUAAAGAAGAAAGAGUUAAAA